AAAGAGAUAUACUUUUGUCUAGCAGAACUGUUCCCAAAGUGAGUGACAAGUUAUGCUAGGAAAUUGCAAGGAAUCCAUGUAUGAUGCCCGAUGGUAGUGGAAGAAAUUAAUAAUGGUAAGGCAUGAGCAAACUACAUACAUGCAGUUUGUCACUCACGCGACAACCUAUGGUUUCAGGUGACGGAGUUCGACAGGCCGGAUCAAGGUAUUGCUCGAGGAUGUACCGGAUACACAUGAGAAAUCAGACUUGUAAUUGUGAGAUAUUUG
This 267-nucleotide long non-coding RNA is filed under the name Gossypium barbadense (sea-island cotton). RNAcentral describes it as "long non-coding RNA (GBAR_LNC003209)". The record is from RNAcentral. Lineage: Eukaryota; Viridiplantae; Streptophyta; Magnoliopsida; Malvales; Malvaceae.